AUAAUAAAAAAAACCUUUGGAAAUCCACGGGUCGACCGUUGGAUUUCUAACGGCUAAUAUUAAAUAAGGUUCUUUUAACGGCAACAAUUUUUGAGAUUAAUGGUCCAAGUUAUUCGCCUUUAUAAAUUAAAAAAAAUAGUUUUAAAAAUCAGAAAUGUUACUGUUGUGCCGAGUGGCACAAUCUAGAGUGUUAGAAUUCAAAUUUUUUUUAAUCCAAUGGCAAAGAUUAAUUAGUUGAAUAAUUUUUUUUUAAAUGUAAAAAAUGAAUAAAAAUCUGAAAAAAAAAAUUGAAUUUACUUUUCUAUAAAUACCUUCUCAUUAUCUUCUACCUUACACCACAAUUUCAUAUUUUCUCAACUACUUUCAACCACAUUCCUAUCUUUCUCUCAAAGUUUCAAUCCAAUUUUUUUCCAACAAAAUGACUAAUGAUGCAGGUACGAAUUGGACGCUUCUUGAAUAUGUUGCGUUGUGUACUAGCCGGGUUGAAGUUACUCAUAAUUCGCUUACGGGUAAUGAGAUGCAGUUGCGAGAAAUGUGAAGUCUUAUUCAUACCAAUUAUCUUGAGAAAAUGGGUGGGAAAAGAACCAAAGAAUCGAUGUCCAGUUAUUAGAAAUUAUUUAGCCAAUCGUUUAGUACGUGAAGAGACGCCUUGACAUAAGCUAGUGCUAAUCUUCGAAGUGGGAAAAAUUUAGUGGAUAAUGUAACAAUAUAUUAUAUAUUUGUUUGUAUUAUUCAAUAGUUAGCUACUUUCAUUAUAAUUAUUUGUUUGUAUUAUUUAUUUGUUACCUACUUUCAUUAUAAUUAUUUGUUUGUAUUAUUAAUUGUUAGCGACUUUCAUUAUAAUUAUUUGUUUGUAUUAUUUAAUUGUUACCUACUUUGAUUAUAAUUAUUUGUUUGUAUUAUUUAUUUGUUACCUACUUUGAUUAUAAUUAUUUGUUUUUAUUAUUUAUUUGUUACUUACUUUCAUUAUAAUUAUUUCUUCUCCCGCAUUGUGUAGGAACUUCAAGCACAAGCUUGGUAUAAUGCCAAAACCAAAAGCAAAAACAAAUCAUUCACCCGGUGGGAAUGUUGGAAUAUUGUCAAAGAUUGUCCUAAAUUUAGAGUUGUCUCUGUCGGUCCAAAAGUUUUCAUGAACAGCACCCUUUUACACUUUACACCCGAUCAUGCCUCGCAUGUUCAUGAAGAUGACCUAGAAGAAGUGUCCGAAAUGGCCCCCCUGAACAAGUGUCGGGGUCAACCCGUUAUCCAAUUAGGCCUCAAGGUAAAAAGGCUUCAAAGAGAAAAGGGAGUGCUUUCAAGAAUGAUUAUGCAAAGUAUAUGGAAGAACUUGCUCGCCAAGGUGAAAUGACUUUGGCGCAGGAAAUGACGAAAUUUGAGGCUGAUAAGGCUAGAUAGAAGGCAAAAGCUGCAGCUGCUGAGAGAGCAUUUCAAGCUAAUGAGAGGGAAAGAUAGCUACUUAGGCAAGAAAAGGAACAUGUUAGAGAAGAAAGAAUGGCUCAACGAGAUCGUGACAUUAUGAACACGCCUUUA
This 1530-nucleotide long non-coding RNA is filed under the name Malus domestica (apple). RNAcentral's name for it is "long non-coding RNA (MDOM_LNC001802)". The record is from RNAcentral. Lineage: Eukaryota; Viridiplantae; Streptophyta; Magnoliopsida; Rosales; Rosaceae.